This is a non-coding RNA of Pelobates cultripes (western spadefoot toad), 960 nucleotides long. The record is from the annotation of a GenBank genome assembly. NCBI's taxonomy places the organism in Eukaryota, Metazoa, Chordata, Amphibia, Anura, Pelobatidae.
CGAUGUCACUUCCUUGUAUAGUAAUAUACCACAUGAAUAUGGACACAGAGCGGUUAAACAUUUCUUGGAUAUUUCUAGGGAGUUUUUAACGGCACAAAUUGCAAGUUAUAAACUUAAUUUUAAACAAUUUUUUUUUGGUACUAGGAAGAAUUUUACUUGCAAAUUAAGGGGACUGCCAUUGAAACCAAGUUCGCCACCAGCUAUGCCAAUCUUUUUAUGGCCUUGUGGGAGGAGUCUUUUGUUUAGGGCCCACAUAGCUGGGUGGAGAACUUGGUUUCCUAUGGCAGAUAUAUUGAUGAUAUUUUAUUUGUUUGGAGAGUCGGUAUAGAGGAAUUAAAAAAGUUUCUAUUUUUCCUUAACGACAAUACUUGGGGUAAAGAACUCACAAGUACCUGGAGUAAAAGUGAAAUAGAUUUUUUAGAUUUGAAAAUCUAUAUUGAUGAAGGUAAAAUACUAACUAAAAAUCAUUUUAAAUCGGUUGACUGCAACAGCUUUAUAGAUAGGAAAAGGGACAGUCUAAGGGACAGUUCAUGAGAAUUUGCCGUAAUUGGACGGAUAUAAAAUUAUAUGAAGAUCAGUGUUUAGUGAUUAAAAAUUAUUUUUUAAAUAAGGGGUAUGAAGAUGCUAAAUUGGAAACAGCAAGAAUAGAAGUAAAAAAUAAAGAACGAAAAGAUAUGCUUGUGUAUGAAGCUAAAGAGAAUAAGAUCAGUAAUGAGGUCCCUUUUAUAUGUAAUUUUACUGUUAAAAAUUACCAAGUACGAAAAAUUAUAACCAAAUAUUGGCCCAUCCUGUUACAGGAUCCUCUUUUAAAUUUCUUUUUACCUAAUAAACCAAGAUUCAUCCAUAGAGGAGUGAAAAAUUUGAAAAGCACCUUAGUUAAUAGUUUUAUUAAAGAAAAAAAUAAUCAAAGCACAAUUUUUAAUAAUGAAAAAGGUUUUUAUGGAUGUGGUCAGUGUGCAG